GUUUACCAAAAACAUGGCUUCUUGUAAUACAUAAAAUAAGGAGUCGGACCUGCCCAGUGAGAUUUUUAACGGCCGCGGUACUCUGACCGUGCAAAGGUAGCAUAAUCAUUUGCCUUAUAAUUGAAGGCUAGUAUGAACGGUUUGACAAGAAUAUAGCUGUCUCUUUAUAAUUAUAUAAAAUUUUAUUUUAAGGUGAAGAAGCCUUAGUAAAAUUAAAAGACAAGAAGACCCUAUCGAGCUUUAAAGAAAUUAAUAGAAAUUAAUUAAUAUAGCUUAAAAAAUUAGCUAUUAAAUAUUUUAGUUGGGGCGACUAAGGAACAAAUAAAGCUUCCUUUAUAUAUUUAUAUACAUACAAGUACUGAUCCAAAAAAUUUUGAUUAAAGAAAUUAGUUACCGUAGGGAUAACAGCAUUAUCUUUUUUGAGAGUCCCUAUCGAAAAAAAGGUUUGUGACCUCGAUGUUGGACCAGAAUACCCCAAAGAUGCAGAAGUCUUUAAAGGUUGGUCUGUUCGACCAUUAAAAUUCUACGUGAUCUGAGUUCAGACCGG
Molecule: ribosomal RNA, 547 nt
Filed under: Turris undosa
Lineage: Eukaryota; Metazoa; Mollusca; Gastropoda; Neogastropoda; Turridae
Also listed under: 1 other name
Description: partial 16S ribosomal RNA
Rfam family: Bacterial large subunit ribosomal RNA
Source: RNAcentral